RNAcentral lists this ribosomal RNA (372 nucleotides) under uncultured organism. RNAcentral's name for it is "partial 16S ribosomal RNA". It matches the Rfam family "Bacterial small subunit ribosomal RNA", at positions 527 to 896 of the family's 1533-position model. The record is from RNAcentral.
GUAGGUGGCAAGCGUUGUCCGGAAUUAUUGGGCGUAAAGCGCGCGCAGGCGGUUCUUUAAGUCUGAUGUGAAAGCCCACGGCCCAACCGUGGAGGGUCAUUGGAAACUGGAGAACUUGAGUACAGAAGAGGGAAGCGGAAUUCCACGUGUAGCGGUGAAAUGCGUAGAGAUGUGGAGGAACACCAGUGGCGAAGGCGGCUUUCUGGUCUGUAACUGACGCUGAGGCGCGAAAGCGUGGGGAGCAAACAGGGAUUAGAUACCCUGGUAGUCCACGCCGUAAACGAUGAGUGCUAAGUGUUAGGGGGUUUCCCGCCCCUUAGUGCUGCAGCUAACGCAUCAAGCACUCCGCCUGGGGAUACGGCCGCAAGGCUG